This is a long non-coding RNA of Nilaparvata lugens (brown planthopper), 416 nucleotides long. RefSeq lists it as uncharacterized. Lineage: Eukaryota; Metazoa; Arthropoda; Insecta; Hemiptera; Delphacidae. The record is from RefSeq and is a predicted model, not a curated record. The transcript has 2 exons.
GACAGUCAAAAAUGUAGACAAAAAUAAACUUGAGUGGACUUGAACAAUAGGAUCGUUCCAUGUUUCCACUCUGUAUAAACUUUACACUUCACGGUUUAAAGGUUAUGUUUAUGUUAACACUGCUUACUGCUUAGUGCUUACAUGCUUACACUUUACAGUGCGUUAUACAUUUUAUAAUUAUUUAUUAUUAUUAGAACUCACUUCAAGUUACAAAUCAAAGUCGAGUCAGAUCUGUAAUGCAGCAUCUGGACAAUGCUUCAACAAUGAUCAAGUCUGAACUUUCCUUGUUGGACUAGACCCAACAACAGUGAUUUUUCAUGUGAGGAAAAAACACUACAUCGAAAAUUUGAAACAAAUUAGUCACACAAGGUGUUUUUUUUAAUGAUAGAAAUAAAAAGUCUUGAUAUUCUACAUAA